This 446-nucleotide ribosomal RNA is filed under the name uncultured bacterium. Its description in RNAcentral is "partial 16S ribosomal RNA". It matches the Rfam family "Bacterial small subunit ribosomal RNA", at positions 338 to 795 of the family's 1533-position model. The record is from RNAcentral.
CCUACGGGUGGCGGCAGUCGAGAAUCAUUCACAAUGGGGGAAACCCUGAUGGUGCGACGCCGCGUGGGGGAAUGAAGGUCUUCGGAUUGUAAACCCCUGGCAUGUGGGAGCAAAUUAAAAAGAUAGUACCACAAGAGGAAGAGACGGCUAACUCGGUGCCAGCAGCCGCGGUAAUACAGAGGUCUCAAGCUUUGUUCGGAAUCACUGGGCGUAAAGGGUGCGUAGGCUGUUUCGUAAGUCGUGUGUGAAAGGCGCGGGCUCAACCCGCGGACGGCACAUGAUACUGCGAGACUAGAGUAAUGGAGGGGGAACCGGAAUUCUCGGUGUAGCAGUGAAAUGCGUAGAUAUCGAGAGGAACACUCGGGGCGAAGGCGGGUUCCUGGACAUUAACUGACGCUGAGGCACGAAGGCCAGGGGAGCGAAAGGGAUUAGAUACCCCAGUAGUC